Molecule: ribosomal RNA, 496 nt
Filed under: uncultured bacterium
Lineage: Bacteria
Description: partial 16S ribosomal RNA
Rfam family: Bacterial small subunit ribosomal RNA
Source: RNAcentral
GACGAACGCUGGCGGCGUGCCUAAUACAUGCAAGUAGAACGCUGAAGGAGGAGCUUGCUCUUCUGGAUGAGUUGCGAACGGGUGAGUAACGCGUAGGUAACCUGCCUGGUAGCGGGGGAUAACUAUUGGAAACGAUAGCUAAUACCGCAUAAGAGUAGAUGUUGCAUGACAUUUACUUAAAAGGUGCAAUUGCAUCACUACCAGAUGGACCUGCGUUGUAUUAGCUAGUUGGUGGGGUAACGGCUUACCAAGGCGACGAUACAUAGCCGACCUGAGAGGGUGAUCGGCCACACUGGGACUGAGACACGGCCCAGACUCCUACGGGAGGCAGCAGUAGGGAAUCUUCGGCAAUGGACGGAAGUCUGACCGAGCAACGCCGCGUGAGUGAAGAAGGUUUUCGGAUCGUAAAGCUCUGUUGUAAGAGAAGAACGAGUGUGAGAGUGGAAAGUUCACACUGUGACGGUAUCUUACCAGAAAGGGACGGCUAACUACGUGC